CAAGAAAAGGGGCGACCCCCAUUGUUCCAAAACCCUAAAGUCACAAUUUCUUGCAAUUGGAGGUUCAAAUCCUAACCAAAACGAAAUCCGAGCUUAGAAUUGUGUUCCUCAUCGCAAGAGGAUUAAGAGGCAAAGAGUCCGGUUCAUCUAGCGGACAAGCCGAGGGGAAAUCACGAGGAAAAGGCGCGCUCUAAAGUUUUUCAGGUACUCAAGUGAAGGAUGAUGAUCAAGCAAUCGAUUCGGACCGAACACCUAACGUUACGCUUCCGCACUUGAACCUCGUUUUGUUAUUAUGUAAACUCUAGUAGUUUAUUUUGGAACAUUGUUAGUAGGUUGAACAUGUAAAUGC
Helianthus annuus (common sunflower) is the source of this 349-nucleotide long non-coding RNA. RefSeq lists it as uncharacterized. The record is from RefSeq and is a predicted model, not a curated record. Lineage: Eukaryota; Viridiplantae; Streptophyta; Magnoliopsida; Asterales; Asteraceae. The transcript is spliced from 3 exons.